Non-coding RNA from Didymella sp. IMI 355093, 96 nucleotides. Lineage: Eukaryota; Fungi; Ascomycota; Dothideomycetes; Pleosporales; Didymellaceae. The record is from the annotation of a GenBank genome assembly.
GCAUCGGUGGUUUAGUGGUAAAAUUAGCCGUUGCCAAGACUUGUUCAGCGAGUCGCCAGUUUCGGCUAGCCCCGGGUUCGAUUCCCGGCCGAUGCA